AUUCAAUUGUAUCUGAGAGUUCAUUAGUGUCUAAGGAGCUUGAACAGAAUGUAACAUUAAGAUGCAGUUAUUCCACCACAAGCAACACUCCAUAUCUUUACUGGUACCGUCAAUAUCCAAAUGAAAUUCAGUAUCUCCUACAUAGGGGAGCCAGGAAUUACAAAAACUUUAAGUAUUAUGGGAAAUUUCCAUCUGGGAAAUUUCAUACAGAGACAAGUGAAACGCAUACUGAUUUAAUCAUCACUGGCCUGACAGUGGAAGAUUCUGCCUUGUACUUGUGUGCUUUCAGUGAUGGUGCACAGUGACACUUGAACAUAGGAACUUCAUGUAAAAAUAUCACUCUGCACACUGUGUUUGGGUCCAG
Pelobates cultripes (western spadefoot toad) is the source of this 364-nucleotide non-coding RNA. The record is from the annotation of a GenBank genome assembly. NCBI's taxonomy places the organism in Eukaryota, Metazoa, Chordata, Amphibia, Anura, Pelobatidae.